UGGAUCCAGACUCUGAUCCCGGCUCAGGACGAACGCUGGCGGCGUGCCUAACACAUGCAAGUCGAGCGGGGACAUUCUGCUUCGGCGGGAUGUUCCACCGGCGGACGGGUGAGUAACGCGUGAGCAAUCUGUCCCAUACAGGGGGAUAACAGCUGGAAACAGGUGCUAAUACCGCAUGAGACCACAACGCCGCAUGGCGAAGGGGUCAAAGGAGCAAUCCGGUAUGGGGUGGGCUCGCGUCCCAUUAGGUAGUUGGUGAGGUAACGGCCCACCAAGCCGACGAUGGGUAGCCGACCUGAGAGGGUGAUCGGCCACACUGGAACUGAGACACGGUCCAGACUCCUACGGGAGGCAGCAGUGGGGAAUAUUGGGCAAUGGGCGAAAGCCUGACCCAGCAACGCCGCGUGAGGGAAGAAGGUUUUCGGAUUGUAAACCUCUGUCCUUGGUGACGAAGGAAGUGACGGUAGCCAAGGAGGAAGCCCCGGCUAACUACGUGCCAGCAGCCGCGGUAAUACGUAGGGGGCGAGCGUUGUCCGGAAUGACUGGGCGUAAAGGGCGCGUAGGCGGCUUUUUAAGUUAGGAGUGAAAGUCCUGCUUUCAAGGUGGGAAUUGCUUUUAAUACUGGAAGGCUUGAGUGCAGAAGAGGUAAGUGGAAUUCCCAGUGUAGCGGUGAAAUGCGUAGAGAUUGGGAAGAACACCAGUGGCGAAGGCGACUUACUGGGCUGUAACUGACGCUGAGGCGCGAAAGCGUGGGGAGCAAACAGGAUUAGAUAGCGGGGUAGCCCACGCGGUAAACGAUGAAUGCUAGGUGUAGGGGGUAUCGACCCCUCCUGUGCCGGAGUCAACACAAUAAGCAUUCCGCCUGGGGAGUACGGCCGCAAGGUUGCAACUCAAAGG
Molecule: ribosomal RNA, 897 nt
Filed under: uncultured Bacillota bacterium
Lineage: Bacteria; Bacillati; Bacillota
Description: bacterial SSU rRNA
Rfam family: Bacterial small subunit ribosomal RNA
Source: RNAcentral